CCUACGGGUGUCAGCAGUGGGGAAUAUUGCACAAUGGGGGAAACCCUGAUGCAGCGACGCCGCGUGAGCGAUGAAGUAUUUCGGUAUGUAAAGCUCUAUCAGCAGGGAAGAAAAUGACGGUACCUGACUAAGAAGCCCCGGCUAACUACGUGCCAGCAGCCGCGGUAAUACGUAGGGGGCAAGCGUUAUCCGGUUUUACUGGGUGUAAAGGGAGCGUAGACGGUCCUGCAAGCCAGAUGUGAAAGCCCGGGGCUCAACCCCCGGACUGCUCUGGAAACUGUACGGCUGGAGUGCAGGAGAGGUAAGUGGAAUUCCUAGUGUAGCGGUGAAAUGCGUAGAUAUUAGGAGGAACACCAGUGGCGAAGGCGGCUUACUGGACUGUAACUGACGUUGAGGCUCGAAAGCGUGGGGAGCAAACAGGAUUAGAUACCCUAGUAGUC
This 440-nucleotide ribosomal RNA is filed under the name uncultured bacterium. Its description in RNAcentral is "partial 16S ribosomal RNA". It matches the Rfam family "Bacterial small subunit ribosomal RNA", at positions 338 to 795 of the family's 1533-position model. The record is from RNAcentral.